Molecule: ribosomal RNA, 479 nt
Filed under: uncultured bacterium
Lineage: Bacteria
Description: partial 16S ribosomal RNA
Rfam family: Bacterial small subunit ribosomal RNA
Source: RNAcentral
GAUGAACGCUAGCGGGAGGCCUAACACAUGCAAGCCGAGCGGUAGAGUUUCUUCGUAAACUUGAGCGCGGCGCACGGGUGCGUAACACGUGUGCAACCUACCUUUAUCUGGGGUAUAGCCUUUCUAAAGGAGGUUUAAUACCCCAUAAUAUAAUGCUUGUCCUCCAUUAUUAUUGAAAACUCCGUUGGAUAGAUAUGGGCACGCGCACGAUUAGAUAGUUGGUGAGUUAACGGCUCACCAAGUCAAUGAUCUUUAGGGGUCCUGAGAGGGAGAUCCCCCACAGUGGUACUGAGACAAGGACGAGACUGCUACGGGAGGGAGCAGUGAGGAAGACUGGAGAAGGAGUGAGAGCCUGAUCCAGCCAUCCCGCGUGAAGGAUGACGGUGCGAUGGAUUGUAAACUUCUGUUGGACAGGGAUAAACCUACCCGAGGGAGGGUAGCUGAAGGUACUGUACGAAUAAGCACCGGCUAACUCCGUG